RNAcentral lists this ribosomal RNA (219 nucleotides) under uncultured Lactobacillus sp. Its description in RNAcentral is "partial 16S ribosomal RNA". It matches the Rfam family "Bacterial small subunit ribosomal RNA", at positions 144 to 354 of the family's 1533-position model. Lineage: Bacteria; Bacillati; Bacillota; Bacilli; Lactobacillales; Lactobacillaceae. The record is from RNAcentral.
UAACACCUAGGAAACAGAUGCUAAUACCGGAUAACAAUAGAUGAUGCCUAUCAACUGUUUAAAAGAUGGUUCUGCUAUCACUCUUGGAUGGACCUGCGGUGCAUUAGCUAGUUGGUAGGGUAGCGGCCUACCAAGGCGAUGAUGCAUAGCCGAGUUGAGAGACUGAUCGGCCACAUUGGGACUGAGACACGGCCCAAACUCCUACGGGAGGCAGCAGAU